This 206-nucleotide long non-coding RNA is filed under the name Elaeis guineensis (African oil palm). Its description in RNAcentral is "long non-coding RNA (EGUI_LNC042551)". Lineage: Eukaryota; Viridiplantae; Streptophyta; Magnoliopsida; Arecales; Arecaceae. The record is from RNAcentral.
GUUUGACCUAUAACUUAAUUCUCAAUCAAGUUAGCUUAUAUAUUCAAAUAAGUCAAGUACUUUCAAAUUAGAUAUAUAAACAUAGAUCAAUACUUUUCUACAGUAUCUGACUUGUGUAUAUGACUCCAUAGAUUCAAACACUAAGUCGGUAGCACAAGAACCGAUUUCUGUACUAAUCGAGAUACCACCUAGUCAUGAUUCUCAAC